Molecule: transfer RNA, 83 nt
Filed under: Blautia obeum
Lineage: Bacteria; Bacillati; Bacillota; Clostridia; Lachnospirales; Lachnospiraceae
Also listed under: 5 other names
Description: tRNA-Tyr(gta)
Rfam family: tRNA
About the family: Transfer RNA (tRNA) molecules are approximately 80 nucleotides in length. Their secondary structure includes four short double-helical elements and three loops (D, anti-codon, and T loops).
Source: RNAcentral
GGAUGGAUUCCCGAGUGGCCAAAGGGGGCAGACUGUAAAUCUGUUAGCAACGCUUUCGAAGGUUCGAAUCCUUCUCCAUCCAC